AUUGAACGCUGGCGGCAGGCCUAACACAUGCAAGUCGAACGAGUGGCGGACGGGUGAGUAAUGUCUGGGAAACUGCCUGAUGGAGGGGGAUAACUACUGGAAACGGUAGCUAAUACCGCAUACCAUCAGAUGUGCCCAGAUGGGAUUAGCUAGUUGGUGGGGUAACGGCUCACCAAGGCGACGAUCCCUAGCUGGUCUGAGAGGAUGACGAGCAACACUGGAACUGAGACACGGUCCAGACUCCUACGGGAGGCAGAAGUGGGGAAUAUUGCACAAGGAGCGUAAGCCGGAUGCAGCCAUGCAGCGUGUAGGAAGAAGGCCUUCGGGUUGUAAAGGACUUUCAGCGGGGAGGUGUUACCCGCAGAAGAAGCACCGGCGAACUACGUGCCAGCAGCCGCGGUAAUUC
RNAcentral lists this ribosomal RNA (406 nucleotides) under uncultured bacterium. Its description in RNAcentral is "partial 16S ribosomal RNA". It matches the Rfam family "Bacterial small subunit ribosomal RNA", at positions 29 to 526 of the family's 1533-position model. The record is from RNAcentral.